RNAcentral lists this ribosomal RNA (409 nucleotides) under Verrucomicrobiota bacterium. Its description in RNAcentral is "Verrucomicrobia bacterium partial 16S ribosomal RNA". It matches the Rfam family "Bacterial small subunit ribosomal RNA", at positions 355 to 776 of the family's 1533-position model. The record is from RNAcentral. Lineage: Bacteria; Pseudomonadati; Verrucomicrobiota.
UGGGGAAUAUUGCACAAUGGGCGGAAGCCUGAUGCAGCGACGCCGCGUGAGGGAUGACGGCCUUCGGGUUGUAAACCUCUUUCAGUAGGGACGAAGCGUAAGUGACGGUACCUGCAGAAGAAGCACCGGCUAACUACGUGCCAGCAGCCGCGGUAAUACGUAGGGUGCGAGCGUUGUCAGGAAUUACUGGGCGUAAAGAGCUCGUAGGCGGUUUGUCACGUCGUCUGUGAAAUCCUAGGGCUUAACCCUGGACGUGCAGGCGAUACGGGCUGACUUGAGUACUACAGGGGAGACUGGAAUUUCUGGUGUAGCGGUGGAAUGCACAGAUAUCAGGAAGAACACCGAUGGCGAAGGCAGGUCUCUGGGUAGUAACUGACGCUGAGGAGCGAAAGCAUGGGUAGCGAACAGG